CGAAUGCCCAGCCUGACAUUGUGUUUGUGUUUUGUUAAACUUUUAUUUUGGCCCUUGUGCCUGUUCCUUUGUUCCUGUUUUUGUGUUAUUUUGUUUAUUAAGCACGAGAACAGCUGAGAGUAAGCCAAAUAGAAACCUGGUUGUCCUUGUCAGAGUCCAUCAGUGAUACCAGAGGAGAUUGGGAGAGAGAUCCAAUUCAUUACUACUACCCUGCCUCCUGGCAGCCCAUUGUGAAGUUAAUCAGGAAACUCUCUAUAUUGAGGCUGCUCUGCAUGAAAUAAUCGCCCGCGGAUGCAGUAAAAAGG
Acipenser ruthenus (sterlet) is the source of this 305-nucleotide long non-coding RNA. RefSeq lists it as uncharacterized. The transcript has 3 exons. The record is from RefSeq and is a predicted model, not a curated record. NCBI's taxonomy places the organism in Eukaryota, Metazoa, Chordata, Actinopteri, Acipenseriformes, Acipenseridae.